Tachysurus fulvidraco (yellow catfish) is the source of this 901-nucleotide long non-coding RNA. RefSeq lists it as uncharacterized. The record is from RefSeq and is a predicted model, not a curated record. NCBI's taxonomy places the organism in Eukaryota, Metazoa, Chordata, Actinopteri, Siluriformes, Bagridae. The transcript has 3 exons.
UCUGAAAAGCUGCUUUGAGACAACGGGAAAAUAGUGUUUAAGGUGUUGGAAGGUUGUGAGUUUAAAGCUCACAGCCACCAAGCUGCCACUGCUGGGGCCCCUAAUCAAGGCCCUUUAACUCUUGAGAUGUUGUGUGAGAUGAGAUGAUGUAAAUGUAACCGGUCUCACACACAGUAUUCCUGAUUGACCCUGAAUGAAUGUAGUGUAUAUCAACACAACAGCUCAGAUCUCCACCUUCAUAUCCCAGGUUAGAGAAGAGCUGAACAUUGUGCACAGAAACACAUCAUAGUCCUAACAUAGCUAUAAAAGACCACUCACAUAGGUAGUGUAUCUGUUAAAACCACACGUUAUAACACGAGUUAUAACGUGUGACGUUUGACUGCUUCCGCUACCGGAGACAAAUAUAAACAAUUAGCAGUUUGUGCUAACAACACAAUUCAUCUUCCGUAUCAGUUUUAUCGCGUCUACACAAGCUGAGACUAGCUGAAACUCUCAAAAACAAAACACAGCGGCAACCUGGAAUGACAAAGGUGAUGCUUAAAGAAAGAUUCAGCUCAGUAGGAUGAAUUCAAUCAAUCCAUGUCUAAAGGGAAAGGAAGACCAGCUCCUCACUCGGCUGUGCCUACAUCAGCUUCUGCCUUUACGAAAAUUCAUAGAAAAUCUAUGGGGUAUUGUGAAGAGGAAGAUGCGAUAUGCCAGACCCAACAAUGCAGAAGAGAUGAAGGCGACUAUCAGAGCAACCUGGGCUCUCAUAACACCUGAGCAGUGCCACAGACUGAUCGACCCCAUGCCACGCUGCAGUGCUGCAGUAAUUCAGGCAAAAGGAGCCCCAACUAAGUAUUGAGUGCUGUACAUGCUCAUACUUUUCAUGUUCAUACUUUUCAGUUGGCCCAGAUUUCUA